Molecule: ribosomal RNA, 435 nt
Filed under: Salmonella enterica
Lineage: Bacteria; Pseudomonadati; Pseudomonadota; Gammaproteobacteria; Enterobacterales; Enterobacteriaceae
Description: bacterial SSU rRNA
Source: RNAcentral
AAAUUGAAGAGUUUGAUCAUGGCUCAGAUUGAACGCUGGCGGCAGGCCUAACACAUGCAAGUCGAACGGUAGCACAGAGAGCUUGCUCUCGGGUGACGAGUGGCGGACGGGUGAGUAAUGUCUGGGAAACUGCCUGAUGGAGGGGGAUAACUACUGGAAACGGUGGCUAAUACCGCAUAACGUCGMAAGACCAAAGAGGGGGACCUUCGGGCCUCUUGCCAUCAGAUGUGCCCAGAUGGGAUUAGCUWGUUGGUGAGGUAACGGCUCACCAAGGCGACGAUCCCUAGCUGGUCUGAGAGGAUGACCAGCCACACUGGAACUGAGACACGGUCCAGACUCCUACGGGAGGCAGCAGUGGGGAAUAUUGCACAAUGGGCGCAAGCCUGAUGCAGCCAUGCCGCGUGUAUGAAGAAGGCCUUCGGGUUGUAAAGUACU